UACGUAGGGUGCAAGCGUUGUCCGGAAUUAUUGGGCGUAAAGAGCUUGUAGGCGGUUUGUCGCGUCUGCUGUGAAAACUCGGGGCUUAACCCCGGGCCUGCAGUGGGUACGGGCAGACUAGAGUGCGGUAGGGGAGACUGGAAUUCCUGGUGUAGCGGUGAAAUGCGCAGAUAUCAGGAGGAACACCGGUGGCGAAGGCGGGUCUCUGGGCCGAUACUGACGCUGAGGAGCGAAAGCAUGGGUAGCGAACAGG
RNAcentral lists this ribosomal RNA (253 nucleotides) under uncultured bacterium. Its description in RNAcentral is "partial 16S ribosomal RNA". It matches the Rfam family "Bacterial small subunit ribosomal RNA", at positions 524 to 776 of the family's 1533-position model. The record is from RNAcentral.